Molecule: ribosomal RNA, 492 nt
Filed under: uncultured bacterium
Lineage: Bacteria
Description: partial 16S ribosomal RNA
Rfam family: Bacterial small subunit ribosomal RNA
Source: RNAcentral
AGUGAACGCUGGCGGUAGGCCUAACACAUGCAAGUCGAACGGCAGCACAGUAAGAGCUUGCGUUUACGGGUGGCGAGUGGCGGACGGGUGAGGAAUACAUCGGAAUCUACUUUUUCGUGGGGGAUAACGUAGGGAAACUUACGCUAAUACCGCAUACGACCUACGGGUGAAAGCAGGGGAUCUUCGGACCUUGCGCGAUUGAAUGAGCCGAUGUCGGAUUAGCUAGUUGGCGGGGUAAAGGCCCACCAAGGCGACGAUCCGUAGCUGGUCUGUGAGGAUGAUCGGCCACACUGGAGCUGAGACGCGGUCCAGGCUCCUGCGGGAGGCAGCAGUGGGGAAUAGUGGACAAUGGGCGCAAGCCUGAUACAGCCAUACCGCGUGGGUGAAGGAGGCCUUCGGGUUGUAAAGCCCUUUUGUGGGGAAAGAAAAGCAGCAGGUUAAUACCCCGCUGUUCUGACGGUACCCAAAGAAUAAGCACCGGCUAACUUCGUG